AGCCCAAACCGGUAGCGUUUCGGCGAUACCGGGGUCAUGGGACCACGCCAUUCGAAACAAGAUGAAGUGCAAUUACCUGGAAAGGUAAGCCGCGGAGGGUGAUAGCCCCGUGCACGUCAAUUCUUGUGGAGAUAGUGGAAUCCCGAGUAGGGCGGGACACGAGAAAUCCUGCCUGAAUUCGCCAGGACCUCCUGGCAAGGCUAAAUACUCCCGAGAGACCGAUAGUGAACCAGUACCGCGAGGGAAAGGUGAAAAGUACCCCGAGCAGGGGGGUGAAAUAGACCCUGAACCCGCGCGCCUACAAGCGGUCGGAGCUGCCUUGUGCAGUGACGGCGUGCCUUUUGCAUAAUGAGCCUACGAGUUAGUCGUCACCAGCGAGGUUAAGGGCUUCAGGCCCGUAAGCCGAAGUGAAAGCGAGCCUUAACAGGGCGUCAAGUUGGUGGCGCUAGACGCGAAACCUUGUGAUCUACCCACGAGCAGGUUGAAGUCGCGGUAACACGUGAUGGAGGACCGAACCGGUAAACGUUGAAAAGUUUUCGGAUGACUCGCGGGUAGGGGUGAAAGGCCAAUCAAACUGGGAAAUAGCUCGUACUCUCCGAAAUGCAUUUCGGUGCAGCCUGUGAUGUUCUGUUCCAGAGGUAGAGCUACUGGUUGGACGCGAGGGCUUCACCGCCUAUCAAAUCCGGAUAAACUCCGAAUGCUGGAACACGAAAUCAUGGAGUGAGCCCGCGGGUGCUAAGGUCCGCGGACGAGAGGGAAAGAACCCGGACCACCGGCUAAGGUCCCGGAUGGACAGUUAAGUUGAUCAAACGAGGUGGGAUCGCUGAGACAGCUAGGAUGUUGGCUUGGAAGCAGCCAUUCAUUUAAAGAGUGCGUAACAGCUCACUAGUCGAGCGAUCCCGCGUGGAUAAUACACGGGCAUUAAACUGUCAACCGAAGCCGUGGGGUCAGCGAAAAGCUGACCGGUAGGAGAGCAUUCCUGCCAGCGUUGAAGGUCACCCGCGAGAGUGACUGGAGCGGCAUGAAAAGCAAAUGUAGGCAUAAGUAACGAUAAUGGGGGCGAGAACCCCCCACGCCGCAAGACCAAGGCUUCCCCGGCAAUGUCAAUCAGCCGGGGGUCAGCCGGCCUCUAAGGCUAACCCGAAGGGGGAUGCCGACGAGAAACGGGUUAACAUUCCCGUGCUUCUCGUCACCGUGACGCGGUGACGGGGUGAUGAAUGGACCGCGCGCUGACGGAAUAGCGCGUUGAAGGCCGUACCCUUCGAGGGUGGUAGUCAAGCACGCCACCCGAGGCGAUAGCCGAUAGUACCACGAGACUCCGGUCGAGUGGAUAGCGUCCAGGCAAUUUACCCCCGAGAAAACCCGCUAAACUUCAAGUGACGAGGAACCGUACUGUAAACGGACACACGUGGUCGGGUAGAACAUACCAAGGCGCUCGAGUGAUUCAUGGUCAAGGAACUAGGCAAAAUAGUCCUGUAACUUCGGGAAAAAGGACGCUCUAGUGAUAGAGCCGCAGAGUAAUGGCCCAGGCGACUGUUUACCAAAAACACAUGGCUAUGCCAAAUCGAAAGAUGACGUAUAUGGCCUGACACCUGCCCGGUGCCGGAAGGUUAAGAGGAGAGCUCAUCGGAAACGAGAAGGUUUGAAUUGAAGCCCCGGUAAACGGCGGCCGUAACUAUAACGGUCCUAAGGUAGCGAAAUUCCUUGUCGGGUAAGUUCCGACCUGCACGAAUGGUGUAACGAUCUGGGCACUGUCUCGACCAUGAGCUCGGUGAAAUUGUAGUUCCGGUGAAGAUGCCGGGUACCCGCGACGGGACGGAAAGACCCCGUGAACCUUUACUGCAGCUUCGCGUUGUUCCCGGGCACGGGACGUGUAGGAUAGGUCGGAGGCUACGAUUCGGUUUCGCCAGGAAUCGAGGAGCCAUCGUUGAAAUACGACCCUUCUCUUGUCUGGGAUCUAACCCUAGGUACAGGGGACACCGCGUGGUGGGUAGUUUGACUGGGGUGGUCGCCUCCAAAAGCGUAACGGAGGCUUCCAAAGGUACCCUCGGGUUGGUUGGUAAUCAACCUCAGAGUGCAAUGGCACAAGGGUGCUUGACCGGGAGACCAACGAGUCGAUCGGGUGCGAAAGCAGGGCAUAGUGAUCCGGUGAUCCCGCGUGGAAGGGUCAUCGCUCAAAGGAUAAAAGGUACUCCGG
This 2197-nucleotide ribosomal RNA is filed under the name human gut metagenome. RNAcentral describes it as "bacterial LSU rRNA". It matches the Rfam family "Bacterial large subunit ribosomal RNA", at positions 266 to 2471 of the family's 2925-position model. The record is from RNAcentral.